GAUGAACGCUGGCGGCGUGCCUAAUACAUGCAAGUCGAGCGAACAGACGAGGAGCUUGCUCCUCUGACGUUAGCGGCGGACGGGUGAGUAACACGUGGAUAACCUACCUAUAAGACUGGGAUAACUUCGGGAAACCGGAGCUAAUACCGGAUAAUAUAUUGAACCGCAUGGUUCAAUAGUGAAAGACGGCUUUGCUGUCACUUAUAGAUGGAUCCGCGCCGCAUUAGCUAGUUGGUAAGGUAACGGCUUACCAAGGCGACGAUGCGUAGCCGACCUGAGAGGGUGAUCGGCCACACUGGAACUGAGACACGGUCCAGACUCCUACGGGAGGCAGCAGUAGGGAAUCUUCCGCAAUGGGCGAAAGCCUGACGGAGCAACGCCGCGUGAGUGAUGAAGGUCUUCGGAUCGUAAAGCUCUGUUAUUAGGGAAGAACAAAUGUGUAAGUAACUAUGCACGUCUUGACGGUACCUAAUCAGAAAGCCACGGCUAACUACGUG
This 497-nucleotide ribosomal RNA is filed under the name uncultured bacterium. RNAcentral describes it as "partial 16S ribosomal RNA". It matches the Rfam family "Bacterial small subunit ribosomal RNA", at positions 28 to 507 of the family's 1533-position model. The record is from RNAcentral.